Molecule: ribosomal RNA, 468 nt
Filed under: uncultured bacterium
Lineage: Bacteria
Description: partial 16S ribosomal RNA
Rfam family: Bacterial small subunit ribosomal RNA
Source: RNAcentral
GACGAACGCUGGCGGCGUGCUUAACACAUGCAAGUCGAACGGAAAGGCCCUGCUUUUGUGGGGUGCUCGAGUGGCGAACGGGUGAGUAACACGUGAGUAACCUGCCCUUGACUUUGGGAUAACUUCAGGAAACUGGGGCUAAUACCGGAUAGGAGCUCCUGCUGCAUGGUGGGGGUUGGAAAGUUUCGGCGGUUGGGGAUGGACUCGCGGCUUAUCAGCUUGUUGGUGGGGUAGUGGCUUACCAAGGCUUUGACGGGUAGCCGGCCUGAGAGGGUGACCGGCCACAUUGGGACUGAGAUACGGCCCAGACUCCUACGGGAGGCAGCAGUGGGGAACAUUGCACAAUGGGCGGAAGCCUGAUGCAGAAAUGCCGCGUGCGGGAUGACGGCCUUCGGGUUGUAAACCGCUUUCGCCUGUGACGAAGCGUGAGUGACGGUAAUGGGUAAAGAAGCACCGGCUAACUACGUG